This 270-nucleotide long non-coding RNA is filed under the name Linum usitatissimum (flax). RNAcentral describes it as "long non-coding RNA (LUSI_LNC002804)". Lineage: Eukaryota; Viridiplantae; Streptophyta; Magnoliopsida; Malpighiales; Linaceae. The record is from RNAcentral.
UAAGAGUGGAUGUCAUGCAGAGGACCCCAUAGUCAGAAGGAUCGGCAAGUCUGGUUUUGAUAUGAGAAACUACAAGAGGUCUGUGAGUAUUGUGGAUGAAUUGGCCACGAGAUGCCAAAUGAUGCUGACCAAAACUGCCACAUGCGCGAAGGUAGCGACACUACCCCAUCUAGUGAAAACCGUUAUUUCAAAUCUGGCUCCCCAAUUGACGAGACGGAUGACUCCAGCUCCGACGAUCAAGCAGACACCUCAUCAGGCACGAGGAGCUUU